CCCACCUCUUCCCAUUCCGAACAGAGAAGUUAAGCCCGCCUGCGCCGAUGGUACUGCAAUGCAAUGCGGGAGAGUAGGAGGCCGCCCCCU
RNAcentral lists this ribosomal RNA (90 nucleotides) under Prevotella sp. The record is from RNAcentral. Lineage: Bacteria; Pseudomonadati; Bacteroidota; Bacteroidia; Bacteroidales; Prevotellaceae.